Molecule: ribosomal RNA, 413 nt
Filed under: Klebsiella pneumoniae
Lineage: Bacteria; Pseudomonadati; Pseudomonadota; Gammaproteobacteria; Enterobacterales; Enterobacteriaceae
Description: bacterial SSU rRNA
Rfam family: Bacterial small subunit ribosomal RNA
Source: RNAcentral
AAAUUGAAGAGUUUGAUCAUGGCUCAGAUUGAACGCUGGCGGCAGGCCUAACACAUGCAAGUCGAGCGGUAGCACAGAGAGCUUGCUCUCGGGUGACGAGCGGCGGACGGGUGAGUAAUGUCUGGGAAACUGCCUGAUGGAGGGGGAUAACUACUGGAAACGGUAGCUAAUACCGCAUAACGUCGCAAGACCAAAGUGGGGGACCUUCGGGCCUCAUGCCAUCAGAUGUGCCCAGAUGGGAUUAGCUAGUAGGUGGGGUAAUGGCUCACCUAGGCGACGAUCCCUAGCUGGUCUGAGAGGAUGACCAGCCACACUGGAACUGAGACACGGUCCAGACUCCUACGGGAGGCAGCAGUGGGGAAUAUUGCACAAUGGGCGCAAGCCUGAUGCAGCCAUGCCGCGUGUGUGAAGAA